RNAcentral lists this ribosomal RNA (1430 nucleotides) under uncultured bacterium. RNAcentral's name for it is "16S ribosomal RNA". It matches the Rfam family "Bacterial small subunit ribosomal RNA". The record is from RNAcentral.
CAGGCUUAACACAUGCAAGUCGAGGGGCAGCAUGGUCUUAGCUUGCUAAGGCCGAUGGCGACCGGCGCACGGGUGAGUAACACGUAUCCAACCUGCCGUCUACUCUUGGACAGCCUUCUGAAAGGAAGAUUAAUACAAGAUGGCAUCAUGAGUCCGCAUGUUCACAUGAUUAAAGGUAUUCCGGUAGACGAUGGGGAUGCGUUCCAUUAGAUAGUAGGCGGGGUAACGGCCCACCUAGUCUUCGAUGGAUAGGGGUUCUGAGAGGAAGGUCCCCCACAUUGGAACUGAGACACGGUCCAAACUCCUACGGGAGGCAGCAGUGAGGAAUAUUGGUCAAUGGGCGAGAGCCUGAACCAGCCAAGUAGCGUGAAGGAUGACUGCCCUAUGGGUUGUAAACUUCUUUUAUAAAGGAAUAAAGUCGGGUAUGGAUACCCGUUUGCAUGUACUUUAUGAAUAAGGAUCGGCUAACUCCGUGCCAGCAGCCGCGGUAAUACGGAGGAUCCGAGCGUUAUCCGGAUUUAUUGGGUUUAAAGGGAGCGUAGAUGGAUGUUUAAGUCAGUUGUGAAAGUUUGCGGCUCAACCGUAAAAUUGCAGUUGAUACUGGAUAUCUUGAGUGCAGUUGAGGCAGGCGGAAUUCGUGGCGUAGCGGUGAAAUGCUUAGAUAUCACGAAGAACUCCGAUUGCGAAGGCAGCCUGCUAAGCUGCAACUGACAUUGAGGCUCGAAAGUGUGGGUAUCAAACAGGAUUAGAUACCCUGGUAGUCCACACGGUAAACGAUGAAUACUCGCUGUUUGCGAUAUACAGCAAGCGGCCAAGCGAAAGCGUUAAGUAUUCCACCUGGGGAGUACGCCGGCAACGGUGAAACUCAAAGGAAUUGACGGGGGCCCGCACAAGCGGAGGAACAUGUGGUUUAAUUCGAUGAUACGCGAGGAACCUUACCCGGGCUUAAAUUGCAGAUGAAUUACGGUGAAAGCCGUAAGCCGCAAGGCAUCUGUGAAGGUGCUGCAUGGUUGUCGUCAGCUCGUGCCGUGAGGUGUCGGCUUAAGUGCCAUAACGAGCGCAACCCUUGUUGUCAGUUACUAACAGGUUCCGCUGAGGACUCUGACAAGACUGCCAUCGUAAGAUGUGAGGAAGGUGGGGAUGACGUCAAAUCAGCACGGCCCUUACGUCCGGGGCUACACACGUGUUACAAUGGGGGGUACAGAGGGCCGCUACCACGCGAGUGGAUGCCAAUCCCAAAAACCUCUCUCAGUUCGGACUGGAGUCUGCAACCCGACUCCACGAAGCUGGAUUCGCUAGUAAUCGCGCAUCAGCCACGGCGCGGUGAAUACGUUCCCGGGCCUUGUACACACCGCCCGUCAAGCCAUGGGAGCCGGGGGUACCUGAAGUGCGUAACCGCGAGGAGCGCCCUAGGGUAAAACUGGUGACUG